UAAUGAACAACAUACAAAACGAUUAUAAUGCUAUGCUCAAAGUGUAUAUAAGCCAUUUUCGCAUGGCUAUCCAAAUUUAUACAAAACCAAAGGGUACAUGACCAACAACAAAAAGGGUAGUCCUAUACAUGCCAUUUUCAGAGUUCAACCAAAAGUGUACCAAAAGGGCUUUGAUAGUGUGGACGACUUCGACUUCGACAAUCCCGAGUCCGAUAGCUGACGAACCAAAAUCUAUAAAACAGAGAAUCAAAGAAACUGAAUAAGCAUUUAAUGCUUAGUAAGUUUUGAGCAAUGAAAUUAGGCACAACUGAA
This 312-nucleotide long non-coding RNA is filed under the name Gossypium barbadense (sea-island cotton). RNAcentral describes it as "long non-coding RNA (GBAR_LNC005532)". The record is from RNAcentral. Lineage: Eukaryota; Viridiplantae; Streptophyta; Magnoliopsida; Malvales; Malvaceae.